Molecule: ribosomal RNA, 428 nt
Filed under: Salmonella enterica subsp. enterica serovar Typhimurium
Lineage: Bacteria; Pseudomonadati; Pseudomonadota; Gammaproteobacteria; Enterobacterales; Enterobacteriaceae
Description: partial 23S ribosomal RNA
Rfam family: Bacterial large subunit ribosomal RNA
Source: RNAcentral
CAACGUUAAUCGGAGCAGGGUGAGUCGACCCCUAAGGCGAGGCUGAAAAGCGUAGUCGAUGGGAAACGGGUUAAUAUUCCCGUACUUGUGGUAACUGCGAAGGGGGGACGGAGAAAGUUAGGCUAUCCGGGCGACGGUUGUCCCGGUUUAAGCGUGAAGGUGGAGAGACUAGGCAAAUCCGGUCUUUCAUUAACACUGAGGCGUGAUGACGAAGCACUACGGUGCUGAAGUAGCUGAUACUACGCUUCCAGGAAAAGCCUCUAAGCAUCAGGUUACCAGAAAUCGUACCCCAAACCGACACAGGUGGUCAGGUAGAGAAUACUCAGGCGCUUGAGAGAACUCGGGUGAAGGAACUAGGCAAAAUGGUGCCGUAACUUCGGGAGAAGGCACGCUGAUGGUAGGUGAAGUCCCUUGCGGAUGGAGCUGAA